GCAGGCCUCAGGCAGAAGCAGACAAGAAGGGUAAGAAGUAAAGGAGAGGGAGGAAAGGAGUUGAAAGAAUAAGAGAAUGAGGUGAAAGCUGAAGUCCCCACAGAGGGAAAUGCCACAAGACUAGGCCGUGCAACAUUUCCGCAGUGCUCCUCGCUACAAAGACAUUCCCCUAAGGCUGGUGGGCAACUCAACACUCAGCUCAGUACGUGGUCAGCUCGUCCUCCAUAGGAGCCUUAUGCCUUGGUGAGGAGAUCUCUGAAGAAAUUGCUGAUGAAAGUCCAACAGGCUCUUCCAGUUUGUCUGGUCGGUCACAUUUGCUGAAACCUGGAGGAAUUGUUAGUGGAAGCUCAACAGGCCUGACUCAGUCUGACUGUCCAUUCUUCUGGAAGCUGCAGAGAAAAGAAACCUGGAAACCUUAUAUGCUGACAAAAAGGGACACAAUUGGAUAUGAUGGUUAUUUUACCAAGGUUUUGAAAUGUCGUGCUUUCAAAUAUAAACAGACUGCUUUAAGGAAUCGAAGUUGACUUAUAGAGCCAAUAAAAGCCCUGCAGGAAAGCUGGCCUCAUACUUUGUCUACACAGUCUCUGUACAGGUUUCCUGACCUGUGCUUCCAAGUUGUCUGAGGAGCCUUAUGAAGAGGCUCACGUGGUGAGGAACGGAAAUUUACUGAAUAAGCUCAGAGGGAGAUUCUCCAGCUCCUUCAGAUGACUGCAG
RNAcentral lists this long non-coding RNA (714 nucleotides) under Homo sapiens (human). RNAcentral's name for it is "HSALNT0327564". The record is from RNAcentral. Lineage: Eukaryota; Metazoa; Chordata; Mammalia; Primates; Hominidae.